GCCCGCUCAUGGAGAGCUUCCCUUCCCAUCUCAUGGAGACGGAGGACUUCUUCUAACCGGCGCUCUCCUCGGUUUCUCUUCUCUCGGUGAUUUUUGCUUUCUUGCUUGGGGACCCAAUAAGCCAAGUAAUUCUGCUUCUUCUCUCGGUUUCGCGGGAGUAAGGCGUUUCUUGGUUUUCCUUUCCUGAGAUGGGUCUGAGAAAGAGAAACGCCAUGGUUGGUGAGGCAGCCAUGUUCGCCACAUCUUGGUAGCCCUCACUCGGCAUUGGCAUCCUCUCGUUCUUGGACUUGAAGUUAACUCAGCCAUGAGGAAGCAUGGGUGGCAGCUGCCGUACCACCCUCUCUAGGUGGUUGCGAUAGCCGUGUUCUCGGCACUGGGGUUCACCUUCUACGUCUUCUUUGUGCCGUUCGUGGGGACGAAGCCGUUCCAGAUUGUGGCCAUGGCUAUCUACACUCCAUUGAUUACAUGUGUUGUUGUGUUAUACAUAUGGUGUGCGGCAACAAAUCCUGGAGACCCAGGCAUUUUCGAUUCAACGAAGAAUUUGAAGUUAGAUAAGAAUGAAAAGCACUCCUAUGUGAAUUCGGAUCAGGGGAUUAAUCAUUGAGAAGGCCAUUAAGUGAGACUUUUGGUACUGCUGAUAACAGUGAGAAGCUGAGCAGCAUGCUUGAGAGGAACAAUUCGCCUUCUUGGCCCAGAUUUUCUGGAAUUAUUUCCCUGGUUUGUCUCCCAUUCUCUUGCCUUUGCAAACGGUGCCUCCAUUCAGACAGUCUAUCUUCAGAACACAAAAUGUGUGAAGAAGGCAUGUUUUUCUGCAGCUUAUGCGAAGCAGAGUUUUCCUUGCAGGUUAAAUCCCAUCCAUUAAAAAAUGUUUAAUCAACUUGAGUUAUCAGGCUUCUCAUGUUUCAGUGAAUUAAGGAGAG
This is a long non-coding RNA of Zea mays, 920 nucleotides long. RefSeq lists it as uncharacterized. The record is from RefSeq and is a predicted model, not a curated record. Lineage: Eukaryota; Viridiplantae; Streptophyta; Magnoliopsida; Poales; Poaceae. The transcript has 4 exons.